This 2103-nucleotide ribosomal RNA is filed under the name Listeria monocytogenes. Its description in RNAcentral is "bacterial LSU rRNA". It matches the Rfam family "Bacterial large subunit ribosomal RNA", at positions 1 to 2102 of the family's 2925-position model. The record is from RNAcentral. Lineage: Bacteria; Bacillati; Bacillota; Bacilli; Caryophanales; Listeriaceae.
AGAUUAAGUUAUUAAGGGCGCACGGUGGAUGCCUUGGCACUAGAAGCCGAUGAAGGACGUUACUAACGACGAUAUGCUUUGGGUAGCUGUAAGUAAGCGUUGAUCCAGAGAUUUCCGAAUGGGGGAACCCAGCAUGAGUUAUGUCAUGUUAUCGACAUGUGAAUUUAUAGCAUGUCAGAAGGCAGACCCGGAGAACUGAAACAUCUUAGUACCCGGAGGAAGAGAAAGAAAAAUCGAUUCCCUGAGUAGCGGCGAGCGAAACGGGAAGAGCCCAAACCAACAAGCUUGCUUGUUGGGGUUGUAGGACACUCUAUACGGAGUUACAAAAGAACAUGUUAGACGAAUCAUCUGGAAAGAUGAAUCAAAGAAGGUAAUAAUCCUGUAGUCGAAAACAUAUUCUCUCUUGAGUGGAUCCUGAGUACGACGGAGCACGUGAAAUUCCGUCGGAAUCUGGGAGGACCAUCUCCUAAGGCUAAAUACUCUCUAGUGACCGAUAGUGAACCAGUACCGUGAGGGAAAGGUGAAAAGUACCCCGGAAGGGGAGUGAAAGAGAACUUGAAACCGUGUGCUUACAAGUAGUCAGAGCCCGUUAAUGGGUGAUGGCGUGCCUUUUGUAGAAUGAACCGGCGAGUUACGAUCUGAUGCAAGGUUAAGCAGCAAAUGUGGAGCCGCAGCGAAAGCGAGUCUGAAUAGGGCGUUGAGUAUUUGGUCGUAGACCCGAAACCAGGUGAUCUACCCUUGGUCAGGUUGAAGUUCAGGUAACACUGAAUGGAGGACCGAACCGACUUACGUUGAAAAGUGAGCGGAUGAACUGAGGGUAGCGGAGAAAUUCCAAUCGAACUUGGAGAUAGCUGGUUCUCUCCGAAAUAGCUUUAGGGCUAGCCUCAAGUGAUGAUUAUUGGAGGUAGAGCACUGUUUGGACGAGGGGCCCCUCUCGGGUUACCGAAUUCAGACAAACUCCGAAUGCCAAUUAAUUUAACUUGGGAGUCAGAACAUGGGUGAUAAGGUCCGUGUUCGAAAGGGAAACAGCCCAGACCACCAGCUAAGGUCCCAAAAUAUAUGUUAAGUGGAAAAGGAUGUGGCGUUGCCCAGACAACUAGGAUGUUGGCUUAGAAGCAGCCAUCAUUUAAAGAGUGCGUAAUAGCUCACUAGUCGAGUGACACUGCGCCGAAAAUGUACCGGGGCUAAACAUAUUACCGAAGCUGUGGAUUGUCCUUUGGACAAUGGUAGGAGAGCGUUCUAAGGGCGUCGAAGCAUGAUCGCAAGGACAUGUGGAGCGCUUAGAAGUGAGAAUGCCGGUGUGAGUAGCGAAAGACGGGUGAGAAUCCCGUCCACCGAUUGACUAAGGUUUCCAGAGGAAGGCUCGUCCGCUCUGGGUUAGUCGGGUCCUAAGCUGAGGCCGACAGGCGUAGGCGAUGGAUAACAGGUUGAUAUUCCUGUACCACCUAGUAUCGUUUUAAUCGAUGGGGGGACGCAGUAGGAUAGGCGAAGCGUGCUGUUGGAGUGCACGUCCAAGCAGUAAGGCUGAGUGUUAGGCAAAUCCGGCACUCAUAAGGCUGAGCUGUGAUGGGGAGAGGAAAUUGUUUCCUCGAGUCGUUGAUUUCACACUGCCGAGAAAAGCCUCUAGAUAGAUAACAGGUGCCCGUACCGCAAACCGACACAGGUAGUCAAGAUGAGAAUUCUAAGGUGAGCGAGCGAACUCUCGUUAAGGAACUCGGCAAAAUGACCCCGUAACUUCGGGAGAAGGGGUGCUCUUUAGGGUUCACGCCCAGAAGAGCCGCAGUGAAUAGGCCCAAGCGACUGUUUAUCAAAAACACAGGUCUCUGCUAAACCGUAAGGUGAUGUAUAGGGGCUGACGCCUGCCCGGUGCUGGAAGGUUAAGAGGAGUGGUUAGCUUCUGCGAAGCUACGAAUCGAAGCCCCAGUAAACGGCGGCCGUAACUAUAACGGUCCUAAGGUAGCGAAAUUCCUUGUCGGGUAAGUUCCGACCCGCACGAAAGGCGUAACGAUUUGGGCACUGUCUCAACGAGAGACUCGGUGAAAUCAUAGUACCUGUGAAGAUGCAGGUUACCCGCGACAGGACGGAAAGACCCCGUGGAGCUUU